This 2693-nucleotide long non-coding RNA is filed under the name Sus scrofa (pig). Its description in RNAcentral is "lncRNA (ENSSSCG00015080893.1)". The record is from RNAcentral. Lineage: Eukaryota; Metazoa; Chordata; Mammalia; Artiodactyla; Suidae.
AUGGUCUUCCUGAACUUUCCACGGCCAUCCAUCCCCCGUUCUGUCCCCAGCUGCCUUACUCCACGGUGGGAACCUGACCUUGGCAUUCGUUUUCCCAUUUUCCCAACCAGAAAUGAGGUCUUUUCCCUCCUGUGGGGUCCCCAGCCGGAGGCGGGGGGCGGGGGGGAACAGCACACAGUAGGUGUGGCUUGGNNGGUGGGGGGAGCAGGAGGGGAGGCAGGUCUCCAGCGGGCUCCUGCCUGCCUGGCCCAGUGGCGGGCACCCAGCAGAGAACAAAGGCCACAGUCAGAUGGGCGGGGGCGGGCAAGCGGUCUGUGGGCCGCCCUCAAGGGGCCCCUGGCCGCCUGUCCCUGUGCCAGGGCCCUGUGGGGUGCACCCGGGCCUUGGGGCUGGGCAGAGGUUGUGGCUGAGUGGGGGCCCCCACAGGCUGCUCCUCCCAGUGACUCAGCUCCAUGCUGGGCCUCCCCAGAGAAGACAAUAGUGGCUUGUGGGUGCCAGGAGGGCCUCCUGGCAGGUGUGAGGAGCCCCAGGGUGGACUGGGCCCCAGAGAGGAGCUUUUGGAACCUUAGUUUCCUCAUCUGUACAAUGGGUUUAAUCACUCAGGCGUGAGGACCUGAGAGCCAAACAUGUGGAUGGAAAGAACACGUUUGGGACAAAAGGGGGGUUCCUCUGAUGGCUCAUCUUGGCCCAAGGGGUAGGGGCUGGACAGGUCACAGUCACCACUGUGCUCUAAUGCCCGGCACCAAGCCUGGCACACAGUCGGUGGUCAAUGAUUGCAUGGCCCAUGAACAGAUCAUUUCUCCCCUUCAGUGGAUGUGUAAUUCCAGAAACACUGGCCCCAGCUCUAUAUGGGUUAUACCCUUAGCAUUGGAGGGGGAAGGGGUGCUGACCUACCCUGAGUGAGGCUGGGGACCCUGAGGGACCUCUGCCUCAGCCUGGUCCCCAAGAAACCCCCAGGCUAGGGGAAAGCCAGAGCAGGCCACCGACCUGCGAGGUCAGGGUUGGUCCACAGGGAAAGGUAGGGGCCGAGGGGGCCUCCCACCAGAUGCCCAGGUCUGCCAGUGGGGAAGAGGCCACAGGAUAAGAACACACAUCCCUCACUUCAUCCUUCCAUUUUCCUUAUGGGGAAACUGAGGCCCAGACAGUGGGAAGUACUUGCCCAAAGUCCCAGUGGUGUAGGGAGGGAUGCCAGAUUUGAACCCAGACCCCAAGAACCUCACUCCCCUCCCCAGACCUGUCCCACGUGGGAGCACUCUGGCCCUGGAGGGGUCAGGGUGAGGGUCAGCCCAGUUUGGGCGUGGCAGGAGGGGGCUUUAUUAGGCUCCUCCUGAGCUCCCCAAUUGCCCCUGGGGCCUUCUCUACUUCCAUUCCCCCCAGGAUCCCCACUUUCCUUCCUUCCUUUCAGUCCUGUUCCCUGGAUUGAGGGCAGCACUGAACUGAACUGGCUCAAGGCUCCAGAAGGGAUGGAAGAGCCUUUGCUCCCAGGUAGGAAUGAGCCAGGCAGAUUCUAGAAGAGCAAGGAGGAGGCUGCUGUGUCAAGAGCCCAUCCCUGGCCUGGAGGGGAGUGUAGCUUUCUCUCUGCGGACACAGGGGGCCAUGACAGAGUGUGUUAUUUUCAUUUAUAAUAAUUAUUUCCAGGAGUUCCCGUUGUGGUGCAGCGGAAACAAAUCCGAGGUUGCGGGUUCGAUCCCUGGCCUUGCUCAGUGGCUUAAGGAUCCGGCGUUGCGGUGAGCUGUGGUGUAGGUCACAGACUCAGCUUGGAUCCUGCAUUACUGUGGCUGUGGCGCAGGCUAGCGGCUACAGCUCUGAUUAGACCCCUAGCCUGGGAACCUCCAUAUGCCAUGGGAGCGGCCCUAGAAAAGGCAAAAAGAAAAAAAAAUUAUUUCCAUCCUGUAGGGUCUGUGGUUUUCAAAAGCUGAAGAGCCUCUGGACGUGGGAGGGAACUGGGGAUCUAAGUGACUCUCACAGACCAGUGAGAGUCAGAAGGUCUUAAGUCCUUGUCCAAACUCAGGCCAAGAUCCCAUUUUAUCGACGAAUAAACUGAGUCUCAGGCAGACAAAGGCAACCAGCAAGUCAGAGGCACAGAGUGGGUUCCACGGGGGGAAUUUCUGACCCUGAAACAGAGCUGCAUCAGUGACCCCACGGGAAAAUAGGUCUGAUUUAUUCCUUCCAAGUCUGGAAUGCCCGCUCGCAAGACCCAGCAGCAGGGGCCAGACCUAGGAACUCAGACACGACCAAGCCCAAAAGGCCGUGCGGCCGGCCAUGCACACCUGAGAAUAAAACUCCAAGCCCCACCUCCCCCAUCGCUUCUCGCGGCCUCUCGCUCGGAGAGUCCCGCCUCCUUCUUUACCCGGACGCGCAGAGGGGAGGGCGGGGCGGGGCGGAGCCUGGUUGCGAACGGCCGGCAUCCCCGCCAAUCAGGCUUUCGCACCUUCCAAUUGGCCUCGUCCGCUCGGCCUUCUCUUUCCAUCGCUCGGUCCUUCCCGCUUGCGUCACGGCUAUGCGGCCAAUCCACGUGCGCCUCCGCUCUGGAAGAUAGUCCCUGCCCCCACCUCAUGCCGUUGGCCCACGAUUCUUCGGAUCGCCCGCUCCAGGCGCUGGGCUCCGCGGGCCCGCUGCCGCGUUCGGCGGGAGCGUGGGGCGGACGUGUGGCAGUGGGCGGCGUGCAAACCGCGGCGGAGGGAUCCGCGGGC